GCCGGAGUAGCUCAGUUGGUAGAGCAACGGUUUUGUAAACCGUGGGUCGUCGGUUCGAGUCCGGCCUCCGGCU
Non-coding RNA from Actinobacteria bacterium 13_2_20CM_68_14, 73 nucleotides. The record is from Rfam. Lineage: Bacteria; Bacillati; Actinomycetota.